RNAcentral lists this ribosomal RNA (541 nucleotides) under uncultured archaeon. RNAcentral's name for it is "bacterial SSU rRNA". It matches the Rfam family "Archaeal small subunit ribosomal RNA", at positions 21 to 571 of the family's 1478-position model. The record is from RNAcentral.
AGGUCACUGCUAUCGGGGUUCGAUUAAGCCAUGCGAGUCGAGAGGGUUCGGCCCUCGGCGUACUGCUCAGUAACACGUGGAUAACCUGACCUAAGGAAGGGGAUAACUCCGGGAAACUGGGGAUAAUACCCUAUAGGUUACGGGUGCUGGAAUGCCCUGUAACCGAAAGUUCCGACGCCUUAGGAUGGAUCUGCGGCCGAUUAGGUUGUUGUCGGGGUAAUGGCCCAACAAGCCAGUGAUCGGUACGGGUUGUGGGAGCAAGAGCCCGGAGUUGGAUUCUGAGACACGAAUCCAGGCCCUACGGGGCGCAGCAGGCGCGAAAACUUACAAUGCGGGCAACCGUGAUAAGGGAACCUCNAGUGCCUGUAUAUGCAGGCUGUUCAGGUGUCUAAAACACACCUGAAGAAAGGGCCGGGCAAGACCGGUGCCAGCCGCCGCGGUAAUACCGGCGGCUCGAGUGGUGGCCACUUUUAUUGGGCUUAAAGCGUUCGUAGCUGGGUUGUUAAGUCUCUUGGGAAAUCCGGCAGCUUAACUGUCGGGC